This 615-nucleotide ribosomal RNA is filed under the name Klebsiella pneumoniae. RNAcentral describes it as "partial 23S ribosomal RNA". It matches the Rfam family "Bacterial large subunit ribosomal RNA", at positions 1 to 648 of the family's 2925-position model. Lineage: Bacteria; Pseudomonadati; Pseudomonadota; Gammaproteobacteria; Enterobacterales; Enterobacteriaceae. RNAcentral also lists the same sequence under 1 other name. The record is from RNAcentral.
GGGUUGUGAGGUUAAGCGACUAAGCGUACACGGUGGAUGCCCUGGCAGUCAGAGGCGAUGAAGGACGUGCUAAUCUGCGAAAAGCGUCGGUAAGGUGAUAUGAACCGUUAUAACCGGCGAUGUCCGAAUGGGGAAACCCAGUGCAAUUCGUUGCACUAUCGUUAACUGAAUACAUAGGUUAACGAGGCGAACCGGGGGAACUGAAACAUCUAAGUACCCCGAGGAAAAGAAAUCAACCGAGAUUCCCCCAGUAGCGGCGAGCGAACGGGGAGCAGCCCAGAGUCUGAAUCAGCUUGUGUGUUAGUGGAACGGUCUGGAAAGUCCGACGGUACAGGGUGAUAGUCCCGUACACCAAAAUGCACAGGCUGUGAACUCGAAGAGUAGGGCGGGACACGUGGUAUCCUGUCUGAAUAUGGGGGGACCAUCCUCCAAGGCUAAAUACUCCUGACUGACCGAUAGUGAACCAGUACCGUGAGGGAAAGGCGAAAAGAACCCCGGCGAGGGGAGUGAAAAAGAACCUGAAACCGUGUACGUACAAGCAGUGGGAGCACCUUCGGGUGUGACUGCGUACCUUUUGUAUAAUGGGUCAGCGACUUAUAUUCUGUAGCAAGGUUA